UUUCCGUGGGUGAACCUGCGGAAGGAUCAUUCAUAAUAAAGUGUUCUAUGGCACUUUUUAAAAAUCCAUAUCCACCUUGUGUGCAAUGUUAGAUCUCGUCAAUCUUGGCGAGAUUUUUAUACAUCAACUCAUUCUUUAACUAAUUUGUCUGAAAAAUAUUAUGAAUACUUAAUUCAAAAUACAACUUUCAACAACGGAUCUCUUGGCUCUC
RNAcentral lists this unclassified non-coding RNA (211 nucleotides) under plant metagenome. RNAcentral's name for it is "partial contains small subunit ribosomal RNA, internal transcribed spacer 1, and 5.8S ribosomal RNA". The record is from RNAcentral.